AUCUUUUCGUCAUUUUUAAGUGAUGACUGGGCAUUCACACAUGUGUGAGAUGUGCCUCCCUGAAACCUUGUUAUGACAUCAGCACUUUAACCAUCUGACA
Molecule: small nucleolar RNA, 100 nt
Organism: Callithrix jacchus (white-tufted-ear marmoset)
Lineage: Eukaryota; Metazoa; Chordata; Mammalia; Primates; Cebidae
Source: Ensembl